Molecule: ribosomal RNA, 459 nt
Filed under: uncultured bacterium
Lineage: Bacteria
Description: partial 16S ribosomal RNA
Rfam family: Bacterial small subunit ribosomal RNA
Source: RNAcentral
CCUACGGGAGGCAGCAGUGAGGAAUAUUGGUCAAUGGGAGAGAUCCUGAACCAGCCAAGCCGCGUGAGGGAAGACGGCCCUAUGGGUUGUAAACCUCUUUUUUCGGAGAACAAAACCCGGGACGUGUCCCGGACUGCCUGUAUCCGAAGAAAAAGCAUCGGCUAACUCCGUGCCAGAAGCCGCAGUAAUACGGAGGAUUCGAGCGUUAUCCGGAUUUAUUGGGUUUAAAGGGUGCGUAGGCGGUCCGUUAAGUCAGCGGUAAAAUGGCGGGGCUAAACCCCGUCGAGCCGUUGAAACUGGCAGACUUGAGUUGGCGAGAAGUACGCGGAAUGCGCGGUGUAGCGGUGAAAUGCAUAGAUAUCGCGAAGAACUCCGAUUGCGAAGGCAGCGUACCGGCGCCAGACUGACGCUGAGGCACGAAAGCGUGGGGAUCGAACAGGAUUAGAUACCCCAGUAGUC